UACGGAGGGUGCAAGCGUUAUCCGGAUUCACUGGGUUUAAAGGGUGCGUAGGUUGAUAGGUAAGUCAGUGGUGAAAUACUCCGACUCAAUCGGAGAACUGCCGUUGAUACUAUCUAUCUUGAAUACGGUGGAGGCGGGCAGAAUGCGUCAUGUAGUGGUGAAAUACUUAGAUAUGACGCAGAAUACCCAUUGCGAAGGCAGCUCGCUACGCCGGCAUUGACACUGAGGCACGAAAGCGUGGGGAUCAAACAGG
This 253-nucleotide ribosomal RNA is filed under the name uncultured bacterium. RNAcentral's name for it is "partial 16S ribosomal RNA". It matches the Rfam family "Bacterial small subunit ribosomal RNA", at positions 524 to 776 of the family's 1533-position model. The record is from RNAcentral.